UCCAGUUCAUCCUACUGAGUUGGACAAAAGGUAUUUAAUAGUCUUGUUUUUCUAUUCUAUUAGAGACAAACUCAUAAUGACUGCAUCGUGGCUGUUGGCUGCCUUCGUGGUGGCGACCCGUGCUGCUCUCCUGCCAUUCUCUGCUGCUCAAGACAGCUGUAGUGCUAGAUGUGGUGAGCCAUUUGCUCGUGGUCAGCCCUGCUAGUGUGACGCCAGCUGCCUCCCUCAUGACGAGUGCUGCAAGGACUUUGAGGCUCUCUGCACUUCCGACACCAACAGCCCUUACCCUGGAUCCAGCAGCUCUAAGAGCCAGAGUGACUAUUGUCCAUUCUCCGAGGACCCAGCAUCCACUUUGAACCCUGACUUUUACCCUCUGACUGACCGCUUCAAUGGCCCCUCCACAGCCCCAGCCACUGUCAUGGAUAGUGAGUGUCAAGUGUUUGAUGAAGGUAUUGUCUGAGACAGUGGUAGAACAGCUAGUUAUUGUUUAUGUUUUGAGGUAGUCGAGCGACAAGAGCAAAGCUCUAUGCAUCUUAGUAGGCUCAGGAGUCCAAUGUUCUCUCUGAGUGAUGAUACAUUGUGUAGUCUAUUGCAUACCUGCUUUUGUUUGUUUGUAUGUACAUGUUCUAACGUCCUCCAUCUUGCCCCCUUAUCUCCUGUGAAGCCUUGAGUGAUGCAGCCACCAGUCUCUUGGAGGGCAUCUCAGCUCAACGGCCCCAGCACCCUGGCAGGCAUAGCCAAGGCCUUGGAGGUCAACAACCCAAACAAACCCCACAAAAGUCUACCAGCUAGGGACCUCAGGAUUAGAUACUAAUGUAAUGUUUCUCCCUCAGUCACUUUUGGGAUGUCUGCUCUGUUGUGAUGUAUAGUACAGCAUCAAUUGAUUGCUAAAAAAAAUAAAAAUGCAAUCACUCAAGUAAAUAUUUAGCUAUUAUACAGUAAACUAUAUGUAUGAUAUAUAGUAAAUAACACCUAAAUAUUCUUAACAAUUGUAAUGGCUUCUACCCACAUGGGUGUGUCCUCUUUACUCUAAUGCCAACAGUAACCCAGACCUCUGCAGUGACCUGCCAAUCAACAGACUGGCCAACAGAACCACUCAUCUUCAAGUGUGUUGAGCAUAGUGGCCGAGCUCAUGCCCAGCACUAUCCUACACAGCUCUCUCCUAUCUCACUUAUUACUUAGUAAAUGUUUAUGAAGGUCAAGUAGCUUUUCCAAAGCAACAGACUUGAUACAUUAUCUAAUGAUUGUGGUUUGGUUUCCCCCAACCAUGUCAUUUCCUCUGGACGAUGGACCCCAGGACCAAGGCCCUUUGCCCAGCCCGCAACGUCACGGAGGAGUUUGGCAUUCCGUCCCCUAUCGACAGUGCCGUCACCCGCACCAACUGCCAGGGCAAGAGCUACCUCAUCAAGAUACUGUAGAACUGCAGAGGAAAAACCUAGAACCUGAGAGAAGUUCAAAGGGUUGGGGCAGUGGAGAUGCCUUGGUGGAACUAAAUGGCAACACUUUUGUCCCAAUCUCUUUUCCAUGUAAGGCUACUGGAGGAUGGACAAUGGCAAGAUGGAGCCUGGUUACCCCAAAUCUGUUGCCUCUAGUUUGAUGGUCUGACUGGCAACAUCACAGCAGCCCUGUCUGUGCCUGUCACCAAGAGAAGGCCCGAGUCGGUCUACUUCUUCAAGAAAAGAGUAGAGAGCUUUGAGGAUUACCACUACCUAACCUACUCCCAUUGCUUUACACCAAUGAGCUUGCUUCACUCAAUCCUAAUUGACCAUUUCUUUUUCACAGGAGGCACCAUGCAGAAAUACUCCUACCCUGCUGGAAGUAGCCCAGUCUGUGGCAAGAAAUCCAAGUCCAGUAACCAGAAACACCACGGUCGCAGAGCAGAGGUGCAUCUGGGAGUAGAGAUUAACAUCGAGCCGUCUCUGAAAGGCUUCCCCUCCUCAGUGGCGUCUGUCCCCAGCGCCAAGAAGGCCGACAGAUACAAAUACUUCCUCUCUGCUGGACUCAAGUCUUAGUCUGAGGGAUUGUACAUCUGAUAUCUUGGUUGUAUCAUGGAAAUGGGGUUACUGCAGUUCAAAAGACAGACGUAAUGUACACAUACACAUUUAAGAAAUGUAUCAUUCUUACGCCGAUGCUGCGUUUGACAUGCGGUUUGCAAAACAUUAAGAACACCUGCUCUUUCCAUAACCGACUGCCCAGGUUGAAAAGCUAUGAUCCCUUGAGGUCACUUGUUAAACACACUUUAGUGUUUAUGAAGGGGAGGAGACAGGUUAAAGAAAAAUGUGCAUUGUUUGCAUGUCCUAUUCAGACGGUGAAUGGGCAAGAUAAGAGAUUUAAGUGCCUUUGAACCACAAGCGGCAGUUGCCACAUUAAUUUGAGAGGACGGGCUCACAGUAAUGGCUGGAAUGGAAUUAAUGGAAUGGUAUCAAACAUGUUUUGACUUCGAGAGAAACAGAAUACGCAAUGUGUAAAUGACCGGUCACUUGGGAUAAAAACUAAUACUAAAAAGUCAAAAUGCUCAUCUAAAAGCAAAAGUUAUGUUGGAAAGGUAGUUAUUUAUAAUCUAUAUAGUAACAUGAACUCUAAUCCAUUUCAGCGCUCUACUUUAACAUCAAGAUAUCUGGUGACCUGCCUGCUCUGGCCAAACCAGACAACCCCGAUCCCCGCCAGAACUCCAUCAACUGGCUCAAGUGUGCCUAGAGUCACCCUAUGGAUGGACCACCGACAACGCACGACUACGACAAACAUUUGAUUUUUCUCAAAGUUUAUUAGCAAAAACAAAUGCAAUGGAACAAUCACUCAUCUUGAAACAAAUACAAAACAAAAAUGUACGCUUUUAAAGCACAUGGUAUCCACUGACACAAAGUUAGGGAAGAAAGGUCAAUCACAAAUUAGUUGGAUUUUUUAAGUAGACCAAGACACUAUGAUUGAUAGUUGGGAUGAAGGGCAGGGGAUGGAGCAGUGCAUGAUGGCAUCAUUAGCGGGGUAGGUUUCCUCUACCGAAGGGGCCUCUUCCUGCUCGAAGGAAGCCCAUACCUUGAAUGGAGGAGGCGAAAAGAGUCAAGUUCCAUCUUACCCAUCAUUCAAAAUGGCCACUUCAUGACACUUGUAACACUGUUGUGCUGCUUUAGAUUGGGUCACUAUAGCUUCUUUGAAGAUUGUUUUGAUGUGCGUUGAAAUAAUUACCUCUAAACUGUCAGUGCUAAGUUCAAACAGAAAACAUUUUACAAGACCAAGUUAAAACCAUACCUGCUGGAGGGGCUUAAGUAUCUCUCGCAUGACAGCAACCCUGCUCCAACUAUACUUGCAGCACAUGUACUCCAACAUAUCAAACAAAAGUCUACAAUGUGUGCUUUAUGUCCCCUACUUUCACUUGCUUAUCAAAAAAAUAUAAAAAA
Molecule: long non-coding RNA, 3395 nt
Organism: Oncorhynchus gorbuscha (pink salmon)
Lineage: Eukaryota; Metazoa; Chordata; Actinopteri; Salmoniformes; Salmonidae
Exons: 3
Source: RefSeq, a predicted model, not a curated record